AUGAACGCUGGCGGCGUGCCUAAUACCUGCAAGUCGAGCGAACGGACGAGAAGCUUGCUUCUCUGAUGUUAGCGGCGGACGGGUGAGUAACACGUGGAUAACCUACCUAUAAGACUGGGAUAACUUCGGGAAACCGGAGCUAAUACCGGAUAAUAUUUUGAACCGCAUGGUUCAAAAGUGAAAGACGGUCUUGCUGUCACUUAUUGAUGGAUCCGCGCUGCAUUAGCUAGUUGGUAAGGUAACGGCUUACCAAGGCAACGAUGCAUAGCCGACCUGAGAGGGUGAUCGGCCACACUGGAACUGAGACACGGUCCAGACUCCUACGGGAGGCAGCAGUAGGGAAUCUUCCGCAAUGGGCGAAAGCCUGACGGAGCAACGCCGCGUGAGUGAUGAAGGUCUUCGGAUCGUAAAACUCUGUUAUUAGGGAAGAACAUAUGUGUAAGUAACUGUGCACAUCUUGACGGUACCUAAUCAGAAAGCCACGGCUAACUACGUG
RNAcentral lists this ribosomal RNA (496 nucleotides) under uncultured bacterium. RNAcentral describes it as "partial 16S ribosomal RNA". It matches the Rfam family "Bacterial small subunit ribosomal RNA", at positions 29 to 507 of the family's 1533-position model. The record is from RNAcentral.